AUGGAUCAAAUGGGUUCCGCUGAGAAACAGAUAACUCCUGAAAUGAAAAUGUGCACACACCUACAAGACUAAAGAGAAUGGUUGAAAACGGGAUUAUCAGAUGAGAAGGAUCAAAAGUCUGUAAGGCCUCCAUGGAAAGCAGGUGCACACAGGACUGAGGGAGAAGUAAGAGGCCAGAGAACUCUUAUGGGAAGUUUGUAGGAGGAGAGAUUUUAACUAAGAUGUGAAAAUAAGACAUGGGAGAAAUCAGCAAGAAGGAAACAAGGCAACAGCUGAGAAAGAAG
Molecule: long non-coding RNA, 284 nt
Filed under: Mus spicilegus (steppe mouse)
Lineage: Eukaryota; Metazoa; Chordata; Mammalia; Rodentia; Muridae
Description: lncRNA (ENSMSIG00000027211.1)
Source: RNAcentral